RNAcentral lists this transfer RNA (61 nucleotides) under Pheidole megacephala. Its description in RNAcentral is "tRNA-Ser". Lineage: Eukaryota; Metazoa; Arthropoda; Insecta; Hymenoptera; Formicidae. The record is from RNAcentral.
AGAAAUAAAUUUAAAUGAACUUCUAAUUCAUUAUCAUAUGUUAAUGAACAUAUUAUUUCUC